GUCGGAAUGGCGGAACUGGUAGACGCGCACGUUUCAGGUGCGUGUGGGAGCAAUCCUGUGCAGGUUCGAUCCCUGUUUCCGGUACAA
Molecule: transfer RNA, 87 nt
Filed under: Microscillaceae bacterium
Lineage: Bacteria; Pseudomonadati; Bacteroidota; Cytophagia; Cytophagales; Microscillaceae
Description: tRNA-Leu
Rfam family: tRNA
About the family: Transfer RNA (tRNA) molecules are approximately 80 nucleotides in length. Their secondary structure includes four short double-helical elements and three loops (D, anti-codon, and T loops).
Source: RNAcentral